RNAcentral lists this transfer RNA (78 nucleotides) under Muribaculaceae bacterium. Its description in RNAcentral is "tRNA-Asp". It matches the Rfam family "tRNA". From Rfam's summary of the family: Transfer RNA (tRNA) molecules are approximately 80 nucleotides in length. Their secondary structure includes four short double-helical elements and three loops (D, anti-codon, and T loops). Further hydrogen bonds mediate the characteristic L-shaped molecular structure. tRNAs have two regions of fundamental functional importance: the anti-codon, which is responsible for specific mRNA codon recognition, and the 3' end, to which the tRNAs corresponding amino acid is attached (by aminoacyl-tRNA synthetases). tRNAs cope with the degeneracy of the genetic code in two manners: having more than one tRNA (with a specific anti-codon) for a particular amino acid; and 'wobble' base-pairing, i.e. permitting non-standard base-pairing at the 3rd anti-codon position. The record is from RNAcentral. Lineage: Bacteria; Pseudomonadati; Bacteroidota; Bacteroidia; Bacteroidales; Muribaculaceae.
AGCGCAUUAGUCCAGUCUGGAGUGGGCGUCGACCUGUCACGGCGAAGAUCACGGGUUCAAAUCCCGUAUGCGCUGCCA